Molecule: long non-coding RNA, 768 nt
Organism: Mustela erminea (ermine)
Lineage: Eukaryota; Metazoa; Chordata; Mammalia; Carnivora; Mustelidae
Exons: 3
Source: RefSeq, a predicted model, not a curated record
GUUGUAGCCCUGGAAAUGAAUGGAAUAGCCCACCAAUGAAUCAGGGCCCACUGACUGAAAUCUUAUCUUUGUGCCUUUGAAUUCACAUUGGAGCAAAGAAUUGAGAUGAAGGUUUUCAGAGACUGUAAAGAGCAUCCUCCUAUUGACCUGUGGUCUGCCGCGGUCUGGAAGCAGAUGAUCCUCCUUGUGGAAACAGAAGGUCCAUAGUGGCCUAAGGCUGCGUCACGAUGCUUGCAUGAUUCAUAUCACGUCUUCUCACCUCAGAGGCAUUUUGUCGUCUUACAUCACCACAGCAAGAAGGGUACUUGGGGAGACUUGAUGACUACUUGGCCCCGGAUGUUUCCCAAAGGCUUCCUGAGACUGGAGUCAUUCCUGCCUUCAAUCCUGAAAGUGCUUUAAGUGUAGGGAUGGCCGGUUCCCAGGGAUGAGACUAUGGGAUGAAUUGUGUAUCCACCAAGUUCAUAUGUUAAAAUCCCAACCCCUCACACCUCAAAUGUAAUGGUAUUGGAGGCAAAGUUUGAAGAGCCGACGUUUGAAUGAGGCCACUAAGUUUCGGGUGAGGCCUUCAUCCAAACUGACUGGUGUCCUGAUGAGAAGGCGAAAUUAGGACACAGAUGGAGAUUCUACAGAUGCCUGUGAACAGAGGAUUGAUCACAUGAAGAGGCAUCCAGAGGGCAGCCAUCUGCACGUCAACCAGGGAGGUCUCAAGGGAAACCAAUGGCACAGACACCUUGACCUUGGACUUUCAGCUUCCUAAACUAGGAGAAA